CCUCACUCCACCCUCUUGGGGAGUCUGCUGGGAGGGGUGUCUGGAACUAGACACCACCUGUCUCCUAAUUUUCCCAACUCACUCUGAACUUUUCAAGUGACGGGGCAUCUGGCCUCUGGUAGGGCUGAGAGAAGUGCGUUGGGCCCAGCAUCCCACAGAGUCAGAGAUGAGCCAGGAUCAUAAGAAUCAAGGAUGCAUGUAUUGAGCCAGAGCCUGUACACGGACACUACCAGAAGGAGACACUCCAGGGGCUCAGCCACCUUAGCUCCAUUUUACAGACGAGGAAGCCGUGUCCAUGCGAUCUCACUCGUUGACCCAACCACAGGGCUCCUAAAGACAGCUAACUCUCCCUGACUCAUUUAACCUCUUGACAACACUAUUCAAGGCAUCACUACUAUAAUCUUCAUCAUCCGGGUGCUGCCUCAGUUUCUUCUGAAUAAUUACUUUCUGAGUCACCAGAGGCACUGAACUGAAUGACACAGAUGAAAGGCACCCAUUUUAUUUUGCCACCUGUUUUGAUCUGCACUCUUGCAAAGAUGAGCAAGGAAGGGUGAGAAAGACUAGCUGAAUGCCCAAAGUCAUCCUGCCAUCAGGUGACAGAGCCAGGAUCCAGCGUGAGUGACCGUCAUGUGGUUCUCAACCUAAGCUGUGAAUUAGGAUCACGUGGGGAGCUUUUGGAAAUUAGGAUGUUGUGCCCUCCCCCAGACGAACCGAGUCAGGAUCUCUGGGAUGCAGAGGGUAGAGCAUCCGUGUCUGGUAAAGCUGAUGCUCAGUGAAGGCUCAAAAUUG
Long non-coding RNA from Panthera uncia (snow leopard), 789 nucleotides. RefSeq lists it as uncharacterized. The transcript is spliced from 3 exons. Lineage: Eukaryota; Metazoa; Chordata; Mammalia; Carnivora; Felidae. The record is from RefSeq and is a predicted model, not a curated record.